AACGCUGGCGGCGUGCCUAAUACAUGCAAGUCGAGCGAACAGACGAGGAGCUUGCUCCUCUGACGUUAGCGGCGGACGGGUGAGUAACACGUGGAUAACCUACCUAUAAGACUGGGAUAACUUCGGGAAACCGGAGCUAAUACCGGAUAAUAUAUUGAACCGCAUGGUUCAAUAGUGAAAGACGGUUUUGCUGUCACUUAUAGAUGGAUCCGCGCCGCAUUAGCUAGUUGGUAAGGUAACGGCUUACCAAGGCAACGAUGCGUAGCCGACCUGAGAGGGUGAUCGGCCACACUGGAACUGAGACACGGUCCAGACUCCUACGGGAGGCAGCAGUAGGGAAUCUUCCGCAAUGGGCGAAAGCCUGACGGAGCAACGCCGCGUGAGUGAUGAAGGUCUUCGGAUCGUAAAACUCUGUUAUUAGGGAAGAACAAAUGUGUAAGUAACUAUGCACGUCUUGACGGUACCUAAUCAGAAAGCCACGGCUAACUACGUGCCAGCAGCCGCGGUAAUACGUAGGUGGCAAGCGUUAUCCGGAAUUAUUGGGCGUAAAGCGCGCGUAGGCGGUUUUUUAAGUCUGAUGUGAAAGCCCACGGCUCAACCGUGGAGGGUCAUUGGAAACUGGAAAACUUGAGUGCAGAAGAGGAAAGUGGAAUUCCAUGUGUAGCGGUGAAAUGCGCAGAGAUAUGGAGGAACACCAGUGGCGAAGGCGACUUUCUGGUCUGUAACUGACGCUGAUGUGCGAAAGCGUGGGGAUCAAACAGGAUUAGAUACCCUGGUAGUCCACGCCGUAAACGAUGAGUGCUAAGUGUUAGGGGGUUUCCGCCCCUUAGUGCUGCAGCUAACGCAUUAAGCACUCCGCCUGGGGAGUAC
This 870-nucleotide ribosomal RNA is filed under the name Staphylococcus epidermidis. RNAcentral describes it as "bacterial SSU rRNA". It matches the Rfam family "Bacterial small subunit ribosomal RNA", at positions 32 to 883 of the family's 1533-position model. The record is from RNAcentral. Lineage: Bacteria; Bacillati; Bacillota; Bacilli; Caryophanales; Staphylococcaceae.